CCUACGGGGGGCAGCAGUGGGGAAUAUUGCACAAUGGGCGCAAGCCUGAUGCAGCCAUGCCGCGUGUAUGAAGAAGGCCUUCGGGUUGUAAAGUACUUUCAGCGGGGAGGAAGGUGCUGAGGUUAAUAACCUCAGCAAUUGACGUUACCCGCAGAAGAAGCACCGGCUAACUCCGUGCCAACAGCCGCGGUAAUACGGAGGGUGCAAGCGUUAAUCGGAAUUACUGGGCGUAAAGCGCACGCAAGCGGUCUGUCAAGUCGGAUGUGAAAUCCCCGGGCUCAACCUGGGAACUGCAUUCGAAACUGGCAGGCUAGGGUCUUGUAGAGGGGGGUAGAAUUCCAGAUGUAGCGGUGAAAUGCGUAGAGAUCUGGAGGAAUACCGGUGGCGAAGGCGGCCCCCUGGACAAAGACUGACGCUCAGGUGCGAAAGCGUGGGGAGCAAACCGGAUUAGAUACCCGGGUAGUC
Molecule: ribosomal RNA, 465 nt
Filed under: uncultured bacterium
Lineage: Bacteria
Description: bacterial SSU rRNA
Rfam family: Bacterial small subunit ribosomal RNA
Source: RNAcentral